RNAcentral lists this ribosomal RNA (272 nucleotides) under uncultured bacterium. RNAcentral's name for it is "partial 16S ribosomal RNA". It matches the Rfam family "Bacterial small subunit ribosomal RNA", at positions 57 to 305 of the family's 1533-position model. The record is from RNAcentral.
GCAAGUCGAACGAGGACUAGGAGGUGCUUGCACCACCUAGAGCCGAGUGGCGGACGGGUGAGUAACACGUGACCAACCUACCUUCAUGGCGGGGGAUAACCUGGGGAAACUCGGGCUAAUACCGCGUAAUAUCAUGGUGUCGCAUGGCACUUUGAUCAAAGAUGGCCUCUUUACAAUGCUAUCACCUGGGGAGGGGGUCGCGGAGUAUCAGCUUGUUGGUGAGGUAAUGGCUCACCAAGGCUAUGACGAUUAGCGGGUCUGAGAGGAGAGCC